ACCCAUUGUAUAGUGCUAUGAAAUCUGAUGGCGCUAUAUAAAUAAUAAAAAUAAUAAUUUAGGACCUAAGCAGACUUUAAAGGGGAUCAAAUCAGGAUGAGAGGGGGUAUUGUGCAGGGAUGUUUUAAUAUAAGGGUUGGUUAAAAGGCAGGUGUGUAAGAGAAAUUUAAAUUGGGGCAUAUUUUGUGUGGGUAUGUGGGAGUUUAAAUGACAUGAUGGUAUGUAAAUAGAGGGAUAGUUCUAAGCAGAUUACACACAGUGCUUGUGUGUAUGUGCAAUAUCAAUCACACACACUGACAUUGCAUACAUAGAAACGGACACACUGACACUGACCGUGAACACCCACAUCAAUACAUACUGAAAAAACACACACAAGAACAUCAAUAUACACAAGUACUGACAUUCACUUAUUGAUAUUGUACAGACAAAAACACACAUACCCCGAAACACUUACAUGCACCAAUAUUGCACAAACUAUACUUAUAUUUAUUUAAAAAGCCAGUCACAAAUUUAUAACUUCAAG
Molecule: non-coding RNA, 523 nt
Organism: Pelobates cultripes (western spadefoot toad)
Lineage: Eukaryota; Metazoa; Chordata; Amphibia; Anura; Pelobatidae
Source: the annotation of a GenBank genome assembly